RNAcentral lists this microRNA precursor (93 nucleotides) under Vigna angularis (adzuki bean). Its description in RNAcentral is "pre miRNA MIR477". Lineage: Eukaryota; Viridiplantae; Streptophyta; Magnoliopsida; Fabales; Fabaceae. The record is from RNAcentral.
AAAUCCUUCAACGGAUGUCAACAUCCGUUUAAGGGGAAACGGAUGUCGACAUCCGUUUCACCUUAAACGGAUGUUGACAUCCGUUGAAGGAUG